Molecule: ribosomal RNA, 515 nt
Filed under: uncultured bacterium
Lineage: Bacteria
Description: partial 16S ribosomal RNA
Rfam family: Bacterial small subunit ribosomal RNA
Source: RNAcentral
GAUGAACGCUGGCGGCGUGCCUAAUACAUGCAAGUCGAGCGAAUGGAUUAAGAGCUUGCUCUUAUGAAGUUAGCGGCGGACGGGUGAGUAACACGUGGGUAACCUGCCCAUAAGACUGGGAUAACUCCGGGAAACCGGGGCUAAUACCGGAUAACAUUUUGAACCGCACGGUUCGAAAUUGAAAGGCGGCUUCGGCUGUCACUUAUGGAUGGACCCGCGUCGCGUUAGCUAGUUGGUGAGGUAACGGCUCACCAAGGCAACGAUGCGUAGCCGACCUGGGAGGGUGAUCGGCCACACUGGGACUGAGACACGGCCCAGACUCCUACGGGAGGCAGCAGUAGGGAAUCUUCCGCAAUGGACGAAAGUCUGACGGAGCAACGCCGCGUGAGUGAUGAAGGCUUUCGGGUCGUAAAACUCUGUUGUUAGGGAAGAACAAGUGCUAGUUGAAUAAGCUGGCACCUUGACGGUACCUAACCAGAAAGCCACGGCUAACUACGUGCCAGCAGCCGCGGUAA